Molecule: long non-coding RNA, 1777 nt
Organism: Portunus trituberculatus (swimming crab)
Lineage: Eukaryota; Metazoa; Arthropoda; Malacostraca; Decapoda; Portunidae
Exons: 2
Source: RefSeq, a predicted model, not a curated record
CGUAAUUUCACGAACAUUUAAAUGACGUCACUUAGGCAGUAAAUGCCCUCCCUUCCCUCCCCCGGCUUCUUGGUCGCCGUAUGUUGGGUUUUUUUCUUCACUCAGUUUAAUUUUUAGCUUUUGUAAUUUUUAUACUUUGUUCCUCAAACCAACACUCUGAAGGACUGACGAGGAGCGGCAUAGACAUCUCAUUUACUGCCUCAGUGACGUCGUUUAAAUGUUCGUGAAAUUACGAUCAAACUUCAACUUGGUAAGUAUCGUUUAAUCUUAUAAUUUACAGGGCAAAUCGCUUGGCAGGGUUGGUCAACUACUACCAGGCUUCAUUAAACCUGAUGACAGAAAUUUACCAAGAGUUGACAUCUUUAUGAUUGUAGAUUUCUAUUGAGAGCUCCGUCAUCCAGCCAUGAAACACGUCAAGAUGCAGAGAUCUGCUGGCGAGGACUACGGCGACGAUGCAGUUGGAUAUGUGCAGUUAAGACGAGCUGACGGAGUCUGUGAAGUUGCUGGCCGCAUCACACCUGAGCAGAGUUUCAUCCAAACCUUACUGUGUCAUUGUUACGAUAGAUGAAACCACAGAAAAGGUUGUUGAUGCCAAGUGUAUGGACUGUGCUGCAGCAGAGGGGUAUUGUAAGCAUGGAACAGCAUUUUUAGGAUGGCUUGAAAGGCGCAGUUCUCAAAAGUCUGUACGCCAUCCACCUUACACUGGAAAAAGGCUCGGUUAUCCAACGUAACGGUGGAAACAAAGGAAACUGCCCUGGAAACAAUACGUGCCAAACCUAGAAAAAAGCAAAAAACAGACUUUGAUGCCCAUGGCAGGUUUCUUGCUGCUGUAUUAGAAAAUGCUCCAGAAGGAACAACAGGUCUCAUUUUUUAUCACCUUGCUGUUAAGCCACAUAAAGGUGAAGAGUUAGGCAUUGAUCAUCUUCUGCAGGAAUUCUUGAAAGGCCACAUUGGAGAACCUGCUUGUAGACAGUUCUUGCAGUUUUGUAAAAUGAAAAUGACAGAUGAACUUUGUGAAUUAAUAAGUAAAGAAACUAUUUCACAGGAAAGUCACCACUAUGGCACACUGUGAGGUUUGCACGUGUGACAGCUUCCAAGGCAUAUGCAGCAGCUCAUAGUUCUGGGAAGAUAACAAGUUCAUUGGUAAUGUCAGUGAUUGGUGCUGCAAAACUUAAGGUUGCCAUGAGUAAAGGUAGAGAGUUAGAACCCCUUGUACUCAAGGAAGUUGCAUUACAUAUAGGGGUAGUUGAUCACACGGAGGCAUUUUUCUAAAUCCAAGACAUCCUGUAAUGGGUGUAUCACCUGAUGACAUAACUAAGGAUGGUGAGUGUAUUGUGGAAGUGAAGUGUCCAACAACCCAGAAAAACUUCCGUAAAUAUAUAAAGGAAGAUGGAUCUGUGGCAGCAAAACACUUGGCACAAGUACAAAUGCUAAUGCACAUAACAUGCAAAAAAUAGGCUUACUUUUGUGUGGCACAUCCUGAUUUUGAAGUGACAAAGUGUUUGAAAAUGGUGAAAGUAAUGUAUGAUUCAGUUUAUUCGGAAAGCCUCAUGCAAAAAUGUCAGCACUUUUGGGAAAAUACGGUUUUUAUUGAGCUCUGCAGAAUGUACAUGUCAUGAAUCAUCUCUGGAAUGGUAUGCCUACUUCAUUUAAUGUAUAACAUUCCCUUCAGGAACUCUUCUCCAGAAUGUGCAUCAUUAUAGAAAUUUGCUACAUCUUGCAUCUAAACUGGUGCAACAUAUUCAAGAAUGAAAAAUAAAAGAAAAUAUUAGGGAAA